UAUAUGUAAAACAUCCCGUUUUACGCCCACGCGUUUUAAAACAUUGGUUUUUGGUGAUGAGAACUGAUAUUUCGACCUGGAAUACCACUUAAUUUAAAGCGGGCAAUGCUUGGUUAUUUACUUGAUGUUGGUGCUUUUCCUCUCUCCUUUUGACCUUUGUCUUUUUAUUAUAGCAACGUGUAUGGUGAAAGUUUAUUGUUCCCUACUUUUCUUGUGGGGUUUCACAAGCUUUUUAUGGACUGGACCCUUGUAUUGUCACUGAAGCUUGGUACUCCUUCAGUUUGCUUUUUCAUGCAUAAGUGAAAGUCCACUUUUCCUAGCUUUUCUGGCGAAGAUUUACUAUAUAUGUUGGUUUGGUUCCCGUAUUUUUUCUCUGAAUAUGACUAAGUCAGGAUCCUUUUCAUGUACUGGACCUCAGCAGUUUGCUUGCACAGGACAAUGGUCCAGCAGAAUCUGUAUCUGUUUGCAGGACUAUUCGGGGAGUCCUGGAAAAAGUAGCUCUGACUCGUGGACUUGACUGUAUUAGAUUACUUUUGUUGUUACCUUUAGGGGUCGUUUGGUAUAAAGUAUAAGUAAAAAUAAUGCUGGUAUAAAAAUUUAAUAACAUUUUAUACCUUGUUUGGUUACCAAAUCUGAUAUAAGUUAUCUCGGUAUUAAAAUUAAUACCAGGAUAACUUAUACCUUCUCAGUAGGUGGGAUAAUUAAUGCUGAGAUUAUUAUCCCCCAACAAAAUAGCGAAAUUACCAAAAUAGCCCUAAAGGUCCUCAAACUUUUUUUCUACAUCACUUUUCCCAUUCUUUACCCAACAUUGGUAAAGCAAUGCCUCUACAAAUUUCUCUGCUCUUGGGAAAGAUUUCUUCUCUUCUUUGGAUGCAAAAGCUAUGUUGUAGUGAUUGAAGAACAACUUUGACAUUAUCUUCCAUUUUGCUUUUCUCACAAGGUUGGAGCGUAAGUCAAGCUUUCAAUGAAUGCCUGAGAGUUGUUCUCAGACUAGCUCCAUUGUUACUUGUUAAUCCCAAACCAGUGCUUGAAGAUGAGAUUGAAGAUCAAUGGAGAUGGUUUAAGGGAUGUCUAGGUGCACUGGAUGGUACUUUCAUUCAAAUUAGAGUUCUAUCCGAGUACAAACCAAGAUACAAAACAAGAAAGGGAGAAAUAGCAACUAAUGUACUAGGAGUUUGUGAUAGAAAUUUUAAUUUUACUUAUGUAUUACGUGGUUGGGAAGGAUCAGCUACCGAUGGUCGUGUAUUAUGAGAUGCUAUAGUGCGAACGAAUGGUUUGAAAAUCCCUGAGGGAAAUUAUUAUUUGUGCGAUGGAGGAUAUACAAAUGGAAACAGUUUUCUUUCACCUUAGAGAGGGUAUAGAUAUUGGUUAAGGGAUUGGAAAGGUGACAAUCUGCCACCUCGAAGUCGAGAAGAUCUUUUCAAUAUGAAGCAUGCUAGGGCUCAUGGAAGAUAUGUUAUUAAAGCAUAAGUUUAUUAAAGAGUCGAAGUGGUCUGGGGUUUUAAUAUAGUGAUGGAACCAUAAUUGUUGACGAUCCAAAAUAUUGGGAUGAAUUUAUAAAGAUGGAUCCAAAAGCAAAAAGCAUGAAAACUAAGAAAUGGCCAAUGUUUGAGGAUUGGGAGGAAAUUUUUGGCAAGGAUAGAGCGACUGGAGAGUUCGCAGAGGGGCUGCUAAAUGCUACUGAGGAUAUUCUAAGGAGUCAAGCUUCAGGACUUUCUAAUGACAUGAGCAUAGGAUGGCCUAUUGAUGAUGAUGAAGAAGAAGAAGAUGAUGUUGGUGAUUGACCUAAUAUAGCUACUGGUGAAGCUGAAAAUGCUUAUGCUGGACCUAGUUUUACUGGAGCAUCUGAAAAGGAAGAUGCUAGAGCAUCUGAACAUGAAUGUGCUGGAGCAUCUGAAAAUGAACAUGCAGGAUUCCAAAAAAAUCAUAAACAAGGUGAGCAUGCUAAUAGGUCCUAUUAUAAUUUCAAUGAAAAAGAGAAAAGAAAAAGGGCUGUGGAGGAUUCUAGUGAGACAUUUCUUAAGGGUGUGACAGAAGUUAUGAAAAACUUUAUUGAAAGUCAAGAUAAAAGAAUGGGUGUCUUGAUUGAUAAGAUUGGAGAUUAUGACCAAUCCGAUAUUCGUGGUAAAAUUUAUUGCAUCCUUGAAUCUCCCGCAUUUGAGUUAUACUCUGUACAAAAACGUAUCAAAGCUACAAUGAUUCUCAGUGAAGAUGUCAAAAAGAUAAAAUUAUUUUUACGUAUGGGUGAACUUGAACGCCAAACAAUGAUGUUCAUGAUUGUCAAUGGUAAACUUUGAAGUAUGGUAAAGUUGUGUAUAUGUGGUGGCACUAGUUUGAUAGUU
Nicotiana tabacum (common tobacco) is the source of this 2342-nucleotide non-coding RNA. Lineage: Eukaryota; Viridiplantae; Streptophyta; Magnoliopsida; Solanales; Solanaceae. The record is from RefSeq and is a predicted model, not a curated record.